UACGGAGGGUGCGAGCGUUGUCCGGAAUCACUGGGCGGAAAGGGCGCGUAGGCGGCGCGGGUAGUCAUCGGUGAAAGUUCAGGGCUCAACUCUGAAUCGGCCGGUGAUACUCCCGUGCUCGAGCACUGUAGAGGCAGGUGGAAUUCCGGGUGUAGCGGUGGAAUGCGUAGAGAUCCGGAAGAACACCGGUGGCGAAGGCGGCCUGCUGGGCAGUAGCUGACGCUGAGGCGCGACAGUGUGGGGAGCAAACAGG
Molecule: ribosomal RNA, 253 nt
Filed under: uncultured bacterium
Lineage: Bacteria
Description: partial 16S ribosomal RNA
Rfam family: Bacterial small subunit ribosomal RNA
Source: RNAcentral